RNAcentral lists this long non-coding RNA (384 nucleotides) under Monodelphis domestica (gray short-tailed opossum). RNAcentral describes it as "lncRNA (ENSMODG00000048610.1)". Lineage: Eukaryota; Metazoa; Chordata; Mammalia; Didelphimorphia; Didelphidae. The record is from RNAcentral.
CUUUCCCCUAGCUUGUCUCCUGGUGGUGCCUUCUCUCCCCACCUGCUCUCUCACUGCCCUUUCCCGGGGCUCCCUCCCAGCUUGCCUUGACCCUCAGGGGGGCAGAGCAGGCUCCUUCCUUCCCUCUUUCCUCACACUCCUGGUGCCCCCAGAAGCUCCAAAGGGAGAGAGACAGAGAGAGGUCCUGGUUUCCUCCUUCCUCCCCAACGAGGCCUCUGUCUGGACUGCCACUGGCACCCCAAGGGAGCUGGGAAAGCUGCCCCUUCUGUGAGCAGAAGAGCCAAGAGCCCAGCACUGUGGGGACUCCACGCUGCCCUCAGUCCAGGCGGAGCCCGUGUGUGGUCGAGGCUACCUAGAGGAGGGGCCCCAGCUGCAGAGGUGACG